This 642-nucleotide ribosomal RNA is filed under the name uncultured bacterium. RNAcentral describes it as "bacterial SSU rRNA". It matches the Rfam family "Bacterial small subunit ribosomal RNA", at positions 69 to 711 of the family's 1533-position model. The record is from RNAcentral.
AGAAAGCUUCUUCGGAAGUGAGUACAGCGGCGGACGGGUGAGUAACACGUGAGAAUCUACCCUUUAGUGAAGAAUACCCUCGAGAAAUUGAGGUUAAUGCUGCAUACGUCCCUCCGGGGAGAAAGGUGGCUUUAUGCUGCCGCUAAAGGAUGAGCUUGCGCGCUAUUAGCUUGUUGGUGAGGUAAAGGCUCACCAAGGCUUUGAUGGCUAGCCGGCCUGAGAGGGUGUUCGGCCACAUUGGAACUGAGAUACGGUCCAGACUCCUACGGGAGGCAGCAGUGGGGAAUAUUGCGCAAUGGGCGAAAGCCUGACGCAGCGACGCCGCGUGGAGGAUGAAGGCUUUUGGGUCGUAAACUCCUGUUAGGUGGAAGAAAAGCCUGUUUUUAAUACAAACAGGUACUGACGGUACCACCAGAGAAAGCACCGGCUAACUUCGUGCCAGCAGCCGCGGUAAUACGAGGGGUGUAAGCGUUAUUCGGAAUUACUGGGCGUAAAGGGUGCGUAGACGGCGCAUUAAGUCUGUUGUUAAAUUUUUCGGCCUAACCGGGAAGCUGCAAUGGAAACUGAUGUGCUAGAGAAUGAGAGAGAGAAGUGGAAUUCCCGGAGUAGCGGUAAAAUGCGUGGAUCUCGGGAGGAACACCA